UGAGGAAACAGAAUGCUGCAACAUUACUACUUGUGACCAAAAAUAUAAACAUACUUCAAUGCCGUUGGUAAUAGGGCUUAAACCAGAUUGGACUGAACUGAGCUAGGAACCAGUCGGUUCUGGUGCGAUUUGGCUCCUGUCUUACCUAUGGAACUGUUCCACAUGUAAAAUUCCCAGUUGAAACUGGUUUUGUCUGGAUCUGAGGAAAACUGGACGUGACUGUUUUUUGCUCUUCCCUAGCCACACUUUGAAGGAUUGGGAAAGGGAAAAAAAUCUUGAAAGAAUCUACUAUGUUGAUCUUAAGUUUCAUUAUUAGAAAGGGAGUGCAAACUAGAGCAGUAAACAGAUGUACAUUGAAUAAAUCAUUUUUAUUUAGCGAGUUGUUUGUUUCUCUUUUCCUGGUUGUCUGUUUGUGGGUGGAACGUAGGUGCCCUAAUCAUCCAAGAGUCCGUGAAAAUGCUCGCAAAAUAUGAUUUAGCAGCAGACUUGACAAUUCGCAUUCACAAUAUUUAUUUGAAAACUUUGUCUAAUAAGUUGCAACUUCCUUAAUUAACCACUUGAAAAGAAAAAAGUUUGAAUUUUAACUGUCCUUGCAAUGGGACCCAUAAACUAUGCUCCUCCUGAAAGAAGGAUAGGUCUUGCUCUGUCGUACUUUGGAACACUAGGGGCUGCUUUCUUUGGUUCGCUCAAAGUUCAUUUCUCUUGAAAAAUGUUUCUAAAUUGUUUACAUUAUACAAGUUUCUGUCUAAGUAAUUGUUAUUUAUUAUUGGGUUAGAUAUAGCACUUAAUGCUGCAGAAAGUGAUUUUGAUGUCUGACAUAUGUAGGAUUGUGGGACACUGCAUGAUAGUGGCUAUCUUGUACCUAAAGCAUCUCUCUCACAUUCUCCCAAAACUUAGAUUCGAAGCUUGGUUGCAGACUCUCAUGUUGAUCCUUGGAUCUUGGGCCACUUGAUUUUUUUGUUUUCAAAAUAAUUAUUUUGGGAAUGGUGUUACAUGGAGUUCAUUCUCUCAUGAAUUUGCAUCUAAUAGUAUCUUUCUUUAUAAGUUUAUGCUGAGUUUACAUUGUUUCUGGAUCUGUAGCGCAUAACAAUGAAGAUGACUGGGCCACAAAAGCUAGAGCAUGGGCAGCUGCGAAAGCUGCAACUGAACAUCAGCUUCCUCAAUCUCAGGUUACUCCAGCAGGAAGGCUAGAAGAGCAGAAUAAUUUUCAUGAUCAAUAUUCUCAAUCUGUUGAUACUCAACUUAUGGAUGUGCAGC
Molecule: long non-coding RNA, 1257 nt
Filed under: Olea europaea (common olive)
Lineage: Eukaryota; Viridiplantae; Streptophyta; Magnoliopsida; Lamiales; Oleaceae
Description: long non-coding RNA (OEUR_LNC012701)
Source: RNAcentral